Molecule: long non-coding RNA, 652 nt
Filed under: Arachis ipaensis
Lineage: Eukaryota; Viridiplantae; Streptophyta; Magnoliopsida; Fabales; Fabaceae
Description: long non-coding RNA (AIPA_LNC001982)
Source: RNAcentral
GACAACUUAGAGAUAAAGACCCUAGGUUCCCCUUUUUCCUUACUGAGAACUCUAGGUUCUCACCCUUCUUUCUUUCUUUUCCCCCUCCCCAGACGGGUCCGGCAGAGGAGCCCUGUGAGUUUCGUUCUAACUGCUGAGCUAUGAGGAUCUGACGCGCGGCGGAGUCUUCAUAUGGAGCACGUUUUGGACCUCUUUCUUGCACAAUGUUCGGAGAUCACUCCAGAGUUAGUCGCAGUGGAUCUUUCGCUCCUGUUUGAUGAUCUUAGUAUCACUUUCUCCUCACUUUUGUAGUACUUUUAGAGGGGUAGGACGUCUUAGUAGUUCGGUUCCAGCUUAGGAAACCCGUGUGAGGGUUGGGACUGAUUUCUUCUUUUGUAUCUGUACAUAUAACUUGGUGUGAUACUCGGCUUUGAUGGAUGACACGUAUCCUUGAACUUAACUCAUGUGUAUAUUAUAUAUAUGUUUAUAUAUGUUAUUUUCUGUUGCCUUGUGUUUUCUUACACGACAACUCUGAAGAAACUAACCUUGCGAGCAACUAAACGCUAUUCCACGAGUAGUAAUCUGUUCACGAUUAAACCGAUAAAGGCUUUUAUUGAUAUUAAUUUAUAAAAAUCUGAGUCUAGAGCUUAGUAGGCUGCACGACGAGUAACAC